Xiphophorus hellerii (green swordtail) is the source of this 691-nucleotide long non-coding RNA. RefSeq lists it as uncharacterized. NCBI's taxonomy places the organism in Eukaryota, Metazoa, Chordata, Actinopteri, Cyprinodontiformes, Poeciliidae. The transcript has 7 exons. The record is from RefSeq and is a predicted model, not a curated record.
UGCUGCAUCUUUCAGUCUUAUUUCCAGCUGCUGCAGCACCGACAGUAAAGUUUCAGAUCAACAGUCAUAACCUCCUGCAUUAACACCAGCCAGAGCAGCAACCUCUCAACAGCAACAUUGUGCCCACCAGGAAGCCACAAGAUGGGGGAUUCAUUGUCUAGACCAAUUGAAGAUGAAACUUUGGAAAGCAAGAUGGAGAGAUUUAAGGUUAAGAAAAUCACCACAGGCAAAACCUUUGGGGCAGAUCGAGUUUUGUGUAAACAAGUUAUGAUGAAACUCAAUGAAAAACGCAUGAAGAUGAAGAAACACAUCAUUGUUUUCUGUCCCAUCACGUCUCGUGUUGGCUCAGAUGUGGAAGCAGCCAUGGAGGAUGUGAAAAAUGAUCAAGGAAUCAUCCUGGUUUUGAUGCACCACACCCGAGAUCCUGACUACUCAACUGCUGGGAUAAAUUGUUGUGAAAAAUUCAGUAAUGUUGACUUGGAUGUUCAUGUUCUGUUUCAUGAAACUGUGCCGGGCUUAUUGACAUGUUCACAAAAUGAAAAGGCAGUGGGUGAAAUUGUAGAUUUUUUUAAGACAAGAGCUACCAACAAAACUUGGUGGUGAAUUAUGACAGAAGUAGUAGUAACAGAAAAGACAGAAAAUAUUGAACCAGGCCAAAAUGCAGAAAAGUCAAAAGAUAAUGCGCAGCCAA